This 497-nucleotide ribosomal RNA is filed under the name uncultured bacterium. RNAcentral describes it as "partial 16S ribosomal RNA". It matches the Rfam family "Bacterial small subunit ribosomal RNA", at positions 28 to 507 of the family's 1533-position model. The record is from RNAcentral.
GAUGAACGCUGGCGGCGUGCCUAAUACAUGCAAGUCGAGCGAACGGACGAGAAGCUUGCUUUUCUGAUGUUAGCGGCGGACGGGUGAGUAACACGUGGAUAACCUACCUAUAAGACUGGGAUAACUUCGGGAAACCGGAGCUAAUACCGGAUAAUAUUUUGAACCGCAUGGUUCAAAAGUGAAAGACGGUCCUGCUGUCACUUAUAGAUGGAUCCGCGCUGCAUUAGCUAGUUGGUAAGGUAACGGCUUACCAAGGCAACGAUGCAUAGCCGACCUGAGAGGGUGAUCGGCCACACUGGAACUGAGACACGGUCUAGACUCCUACGGGAGGCAGCAGUAGGGAAUCUUCCGCAAUGGGCGAAAGCAUGACGGAGCAACGCCGCGUGAGUGAUGAAGGUCUUCGGAUCGUAAAACUCUGUUAUUAGGGAAGAACAUAUGUGUAAGUAACUGUGCACAUCUUGACGGUACCUAAUCAGAAAGCCACGGCUAACUACGUG